ACAGCAGUAGCCGCGGUAAUACGUAGGGUGCGAGCGUUAAUCGGAAUUACUGGGCGUAAAGCGUGCGCAGGCGGUUAUAUAAGACAGAUGUGAAAUCCCCGGGCUCAACCUAGGACCUGCAUUUGUGACUGUAUAGCUAGAGUACGGUAGAGGGGGAUGGAAUUCCGCGUGUAGCAGUGAAAUGCGUAGAUAUGCGGAGGAACACCGAUGGGGAAUGCAAUCCCCUGGACCUGUACUGACGCUCAUGCACGAAAGCGUGGGGAGCAAACAGGAUUAGAUACCCGCGUAGUCCCUGUCUCUUAUAC
Molecule: ribosomal RNA, 305 nt
Filed under: uncultured bacterium
Lineage: Bacteria
Description: partial 16S ribosomal RNA
Rfam family: Bacterial small subunit ribosomal RNA
Source: RNAcentral